UGUAGAACUGUGCCUUCUAAGAGAAGUAAUUUGGAGCUUGUUUCAACUUUCAAGUACAUUAAGCUGCAAGGAAUUUUUGGAUUGUCUGUGCUGAACUACCUCACUGCUGUUGAUUCUUUCUUUGGUGGUACCUCAAGGUUUUGCUUCAGAUGUUGGCGUAUAUAUACUGAUUUUGUUGGAAAUCUGCUGGUCUUGGAUGCGGGUCUUCUUUACACGAUGCUAGUGGGUCUGUCUUCUGUUGGUUUGCGUGCCAAUUAUUGUAGUACUAGUCUUAUAGCUUGCUGAUAGUGUGUAAUUUAUGUUGUACAUGUACAUAAUUCGUACUAUAGCAAUCUUCCUACUCUUAGUGCUGGUAACUGUAAUUGUUUGAAGAUAGAUAUGGAUUACCUGAUUUUGUCUGGAAAGAGCUUUUGUUAAAGAUAUAUAUGAUUACUUGAUUCUGUCUGGAAAGAGCUCUUGUAACCUGUGAGCGGCAUUGCCAUAUUCCACACUUUUUGUAGAUCUAAUUCUUUUGUGCUUCUGUCUAUAGAAUAAUAUUUACCUCCUAAAAUUAUACUGCCUAAUAAUAUACCUCCUAAAAUUCUUUUGUUUAGAUAUAAUUUUACUGCCCAGUUCAAGGUCUUAAAUAAAAGUCAGGGGCCUCAAAGGUGCACUUUGGUCUGCAUCUCUCUGUGGGUUUGAUACUGUUAUCUUAGGUUCAUAAAUCAUAAUAGGUGCAAUAAUAUGUCAUUCGAGAAUUGCCUGCAUGGAUGCACUUGCAAUAAGGUUUGUCUCUACAGAAUAACAUAAUAAAAGAAAUUUCUUGUAGCAUAUCUGUACUCACGUCCAUCAAAAUUGAAAUUUAUCUGUGUUAAGUUAUUCAGAGCUUCAAGUCGUAUAACCAUGAUUUGUCAUCUGUGAAUGAUCAUUUUUUCCUUGUUGGUCUUAUUCUAUCCUUUAUUGUAGUUUAAUGUUAAACUAGUUCAGUAUGAAGCUUAACGUAAUGGUACUGUCAGAGAUAAUGUCUGCAUGUUUUGGCAAUCUUUAUGUUGCACGAUUUAUGUUGUCCAUUGUUUCAAUUUAUCAACUUUGGGGUGAUUAUAGUAAUUCAAAACAAUGUACUAUAUAGCUUAAUUUUUUUUUUCUGAUUUGAGACCUGCUGGCCUUGUACUUGUGUAGAAAAGGUGUGCUGGCAGAGUAAUUAUUUGCUUUGGUAGAUAUUCCUCAGAAAUUAUAUAACAUUAUUACUAAAAAAAAAUUAAUUGCACGAUUUUUUUAGAAUUUAUAUCUGUUCUGUAAAUUUUUAGCCUGUUUGUUUGUGUACAUUUAUUCUGUUCGACUUUAUUAAAAAAAUUGUAGGUGCCUUGGUUAAACUCUGAUACUCACUUAGAUGAUAUUUUCAUUUCAUUUCUUGUAAUUGUGUACCUCUUUCUCUUGUGGGGAACAAAGAUUGCAAAUAUGUGCAUCUGCUUGUGUUGUGUUGUGUGAAUUUAUAUAUCUUGGCAUCUUGGGUAUUAGUGUUAUGUUUCUUUUAACCUUGUGUUUUGCAUAGCAAGCUUUACUGGUCAGAUUUUGUGGUAGAGACAGAAAGUUUUGUUGUGAACUGUUGACAUGCUAAUGAGGGAGUUAAAUCAACAAUGGUGCUAUUUCUUGGUCUGUCUUUCUGAAGCUUCUUUUGAGCUGUGCUGGAACUUUUGAGUUGUCUGUGCUGUACUAGUCCUGUGCUGUUACUUGGUGGUACCUCAAGGUUCUAUUUCAGAUGUCGGUAUACUGCUUUUGUUGGAAACUCCUGAUCGUGACC
This 1780-nucleotide long non-coding RNA is filed under the name Brachypodium distachyon (stiff brome). RNAcentral describes it as "long non-coding RNA (BDIS_LNC005355)". The record is from RNAcentral. Lineage: Eukaryota; Viridiplantae; Streptophyta; Magnoliopsida; Poales; Poaceae.